This is a long non-coding RNA of Phyllostomus discolor (pale spear-nosed bat), 3223 nucleotides long. RefSeq lists it as uncharacterized. The record is from RefSeq and is a predicted model, not a curated record. The transcript has 2 exons. NCBI's taxonomy places the organism in Eukaryota, Metazoa, Chordata, Mammalia, Chiroptera, Phyllostomidae.
CUUCUCUGUCAUCAACAUUAAAGUCCUGUUUUUGUCUCUUCAGAAAACCACAUGACAUUUGAGAAUCUUCUCCUCUACUGAACAAAUUUCAGAACCAUCUGGAACACCUCCUUUCCUUCCUUCUUCCCAUCUCCCCAGUCGUCCAUCCUUUUCCUCAAAUAGGAAAGUAUUUUUUCCUUAUUUGGCUUCCUCUUCUUACAUUAUGGAGCUUUUCCAUUUUAUCUUAAUUCUUCAGUUAUUUGCAGGUAUUACCUAUAUGAACACCAACUUAUACACAUACAGAAUAGUUUAAAAUAAGCACUUUGAGAUAAACCCUCUGUGGUAUAUGUUAAAAUUAAGAAUCAAUUUUUCUGCCUUCUAAUUUCAAAUAUUAAUGAGAAGUAAAAAGGCAGAGCUAAUCAAACAGCACUAAUACAACACGCACGAAACUUUGAAAAUCAGCACUGUGUUUUGCCCUCAGCCAGGAAGACCUGUGUCUGCAAAAGAAGCAGUGAAUUAAACUCACAUCUAUAAUCUUUGAAGAUCUUCUCAUAGCGAAAAAAAUGUACACGUCAGCUUCUUACGGCAUAAAACCUGGGGAGAAUAUUAGUCUUUUUUGGCCUAUUUUGCAAAAAAAGGAAAGUAUAGAUAAAAGAAAACGAUACACUGCCCUCUUCAACUAUUCCUUUUCCUUGUCGUAGCUGAUGAAUUUUAGUUUGUUGACACAGACUCUGUAAUACUAACCAGAUAGGUUUACAGAAAAUGAGCUCCUGGUUAAAAUCCUUGAAUAGAGUAUAGUUUCACUUCAAAGUGUGAAUGUUUAAAGGUGAGUUUCUCUCUCACGCACAACACAUUCUCAGCGUGGUAAGUUAGAGAUGCUCGUAACUUGGCAAAUCUGGAUUCCAACCCUGCCCUUGCUCCACAAAUGAGCGGAAGGGCCCACUUUACUGUCUCCUACACAGCACGAGGAAAGAGACUCCUCGUCCAGACCAGGAGCUUCUGACACUUGCCUUUACUGCCCCAUCAUAAAUUCAUAAAGGGGUGUCUGCUGGAACCAGUUGGCGAGUUCACUGCAUAAACAUCAACACCAAUUUAAUGACUUGUGUACACAUCGUAAACUAGAGAAUCUUUAUACAAAGAAAUCAGAUAAAUCAAACAUGAGCUGAGGCUUAGGGGAAGGCAAUUAAAGCUUUACGUUAAGGUGGCUGUGGGAGGGCACUGCGACCCAUUAGAGCAGGUGACAGAGACUGUGCUGAUGUGGCUACAGCCUGUGUAAUUAAGCUAAUUAGAAUAUUAAGUGUGUUUAAAGUGACGUCUCGUCAAAAGAUAAAUAGAUAAGGAAUAUUUAAAACUUUUAAUUUUCUUAUUUUAUGUGUUCAAGGAGUGGGUAAAAAAUGAAUAAACAAAUAAAACCCCUCAAACUUCCUAAGAAGUUGAUAAAAAUAAAAUAGGGAGGAGAUGUAAAAUUGAUUUACUUGCCUCUGGCUAGUAAUGGAGAAAAGGAAUAGCCAGGACAUAAAAACCUAUUUGGCCGUAUUUCAUUUCCCAUAGCAUAUUGAAAUGUCUUGGUGCUAGCCCAAUUCGGUCUAAUACCUGAAUGCCUGGUAUAAAGUACCUUGAAUGUAUUUUGUUUUCCGAGCAAGUAUUUGCAGUCAGUCCCUAAGAAAUGCUUAAACAUCACCUGGUAAUACAAAUCUCAAAAUUACAUUAAAAACACCCAAGGAGAUUUUUGCUGAAUAAAAAUUAGAUGCCUUAUAUGCCAAAGCUUCUCAUCAGCUGAAAGCUGGAAGCUAAAUCUGGCUGUAAGAAACUGUCUUGGAACUUCAGAAAUUCCGGGGCCCGAUUCCGCCCGGUAUCACUUGCAUGCCUUAUUACAUAGGAAAAAAUAGGCCUGUUUCGGUGAUAGCAAGACUCCCAUUUAUUCAUCUCAAAAGCAAUAAGAUCCUAGAAUGGAGCCUCCAUAACACAAAAUGCUUUUAACUUCCCCCUGAGGGGAACACAAUAUACACAAUUUAUGUAAAAAGAAGAAAAAUGAAAGCUAAGUAUUCCAGUUAAGGGUCAGAAAUCAAUAUUUCUUUAACAGCCUAAGCAACAUGCAUUACUCUUAAUACAAAUACGUAGGAGACGUUACAUUCUCCAUAAAGGGGGAUUUCCACAUAACUGGGGUUGAAAGUGGCAGAAUAUGCUCUCCCAACUCAGUUUCCGUUGUUGAAAAAUGAAAAAGAAUACAUUUGGACAGCAUGUCACUGAUCCUUCCAUCCCUGGUUAAAACUUCUUACCUAAAUGUCCUAAAUGUGGGGCAGUGAGUAAUUAAAUUUUAAUACACCUCAAUGGAAUAUGAUAAAGGCAUUGCAAUGUCAGUAUAAAAACUAUGCAGAAAUGGAAAAAAUCUGAACAUAAAAUUUAUUGUAUUGAGAUAAUAAAAAUAUAGUUUUUUUAAUGUAGCAAAAUUUUUUCAUGAUAUUCUAUUUUGUAGUCAAUGAAAACUUAAAAAAACAACCUGUGUUCAUUUCAGUGGCACAAAAAAGUGAUAAGAUACAGUAGGGAGGCAAUAGACCUUAAGAAAUAUACCAACUGAAAGGACUGAGUUGACAGAAAUGAUAUGCUCUAACUAGUUUCUCUAUGUUAACUUUGGCCCUCCCCUAAUCUACUCUCCACACUGGAGUCAGAAUGAUCACUGCAAAGGGCGGACUUAACCUUGUCACUGUACUACUUGACGUGCUUCCGUGGCUUUCUGUUGCUUUCAGGCUAAGAGAUCAAAAUGUUUAUCAUGGCCUUCAAGGCUCCAGAUGAUCUGGGUGGAAGCUUCCAGAGUCAUGUUUCUCUAUUGUCCAAUUGCUAUCUCUCCUCCAUCCACACUACCCUUCCACUUCCACAACUGUAUCAUGCUCUACCCUGCCACAGACCUUUGCAUGUGCUGUAACUGGCUUCUUCCCCUGCACCCUAUCUCUCACACCUCCAUUGCCCACAACUGUCUGCUUCAGAUCUGAAAUUAAUAUAUGCUGACCUUUCUGAUUAGGUUAAUUCCCUCUUAAUAUACACUUGAAAAACACCCCAGGCACUUACCCCACUUGUUCUUUUACCACGCUGUAAGCACCAAGGGUAGCAGCUGCAUCUAAUCUUUUUAUUCACAACUUUAUCUUCAGUGCCUAGCAUAGAGCAUGGCUCAUAAAGGAAGCGCUUCAUAAAUAUCUAUAGGAUAAAUAAUGAGUGUCAAGGUAGAAUUAAGUUUCCUAAAAAAAAA